GCGAGGGUGGCGGAAUUGGUAGACGCGCUAGCUUCAGGUGUUAGUGUCCUWYGGACGUGGGGGUUCAAGUCCCCCCUUUCGCACCA
This 86-nucleotide transfer RNA is filed under the name Providencia rettgeri. Its description in RNAcentral is "tRNA-Leu". The record is from RNAcentral. Lineage: Bacteria; Pseudomonadati; Pseudomonadota; Gammaproteobacteria; Enterobacterales; Morganellaceae.